CAGCAGCCGCGGUAAUACGUAGGGUGCGAGCGUUGUCCGGAAUUAUUGGGCGUAAAGAGCUCGUAGGCGGUGUGUCGCGUCGGCCGUGAAAACCUGGGGCUCAACUCUGGGCGUGCGGUCGAUACGGGCAUCACUUGAGUUCGGCAGGGGAGACUGGAAUUCCUGGUGUAGCGGUGAAAUGCGCAGAUAUCAGGAGGAACACCGGUGGCGAAGGCGGGUCUCUGGGCCGAUACUGACGCUGAGGAGCGAAAGCAUGGGUAGCGAACAGGAUUAGAUACCCUGGUAGUCCAUGCCGUAAACG
RNAcentral lists this ribosomal RNA (301 nucleotides) under uncultured Actinomycetospora sp. Its description in RNAcentral is "bacterial SSU rRNA". It matches the Rfam family "Bacterial small subunit ribosomal RNA", at positions 509 to 808 of the family's 1533-position model. Lineage: Bacteria; Bacillati; Actinomycetota; Actinomycetes; Pseudonocardiales; Pseudonocardiaceae. The record is from RNAcentral.